GUUAAGUUAGUUUAAACAAAACAUCAGCUUGUGGAUUUGAAAAUGAAAAUAUUAUUUCACUUAACC
RNAcentral lists this transfer RNA (66 nucleotides) under Marshallena sp. MNHN IM 2013-9821. RNAcentral describes it as "tRNA-His". It matches the Rfam family "tRNA". Rfam says of the family: Transfer RNA (tRNA) molecules are approximately 80 nucleotides in length. Their secondary structure includes four short double-helical elements and three loops (D, anti-codon, and T loops). The record is from RNAcentral. Lineage: Eukaryota; Metazoa; Mollusca; Gastropoda; Neogastropoda; Horaiclavidae.